UAGCCCAUCCCUUAGUGAAGCUCAGUUCCUUUGUUUGAAUUCUUAUGCUUUAAGUAGAUAAGGGUUUCUAUGUACUGCCUGAAAACAUUUUGUACUUCAAAUAAUAAUAUGCCAUAUGAAAAUAAAAUAUUUUACCAAUAAAAUAAAAUAAAAAACAAGAAUCGAAUAUCAAAAAAUUUGAACAUAGAAGAAGUUUAAUCAAUUUGCUUGCAAAAACUCUUCAAGGUCUAUCUCUUUUCAUCUUCUUAAUUAAUUGUUACUCUUCCCAAUGGUCGCCUACCAAAGAAAACGACAUUUUGCCAAUCAAACUAGGUAUGUGUUUUCUUGGUUUUUUAUAUAUAUUCUUUUCUUUUGACAAAGAACUUGAGGUUGAACUGAUUUGACUAAGGACUUGGAGUUGAACUAAUUUGAUUCUUGUUUUUUAUUUUAUUUUAUUUUAUUUUAUUGGCAAGAAAGAUAAAAUAUUUUAUUUAUCAAAUAAUCUAAAAGAUUUUGAAUUCUUAUGCUUGUUGAUAAAGUUGGCGAUUUUGAGUGGUUAAUUCAGAAAUCUCCAUUAUCUUAGACUUGCAAAGUAGAACAGGACACUAACUGUUUUGGUCCCUUUUAAUAGAAACAGAACUCUCCAGGAUUUCUGCAUUAUUAUUUAGUGUGAACAUUACUAAUGUAUUUCCAUAUGACAGGUUCGUUCAACUUGAUGUGGGUCUUCUAAAGGUCAGAAAUAAAAUAAGUUGAGCAUAUUAGGUUUGUCACUUAAAGGGCUCUGCAGAUUGUUUUAGAUUGGCUUGAUUUUUUAUUCACUCAAUAUUUCUCUUUAUCUCUCCAUUUGAUCCUGUUCUAGUAUCAUUUAGUACUUGUUCUCAUAUGUUCAUUGAUAUUUAAGUUAUGUUCUUUCGUGUUCGAUUAUUUUAG
Molecule: long non-coding RNA, 909 nt
Filed under: Gossypium raimondii (Peruvian cotton)
Lineage: Eukaryota; Viridiplantae; Streptophyta; Magnoliopsida; Malvales; Malvaceae
Description: long non-coding RNA (GRAI_LNC004075)
Source: RNAcentral